Molecule: non-coding RNA, 157 nt
Organism: Pelobates cultripes (western spadefoot toad)
Lineage: Eukaryota; Metazoa; Chordata; Amphibia; Anura; Pelobatidae
Source: the annotation of a GenBank genome assembly
GCAGACACAUUCCAGCCAAUCAGCAGCAGACACUCCCUCCCAGACCCUCCCAUCUCAUGGACAGCAUCCAUUUUGAAGCUGCAUUCUUAGUGAGCUGUCCAGGAGGUGGGAGGAUCUGGGAGGGAGGGUCUGCUGCUGAUUGGCUGGAAUGUGUCUG